GACGAACGCUGGCGGCGUGCCUAACACAUGCAAGUCGAGCGGGGUUGAAGCGAGAGGUAACUCGAACUUCUACCUAGCGGCGGACGGGUGAGUAACGCGUGGGCAACCUGCCUCAAGGUCUGGGAUAACAGCCCGAAAGGGCUGCUAAUACCGGGUAUGCUUGUGGCCUCGCAUGGGGCUACGAGCAAAGGGGAAACCCGCCUUGAGAUGGGCCCGCGUCCCAUCAGCUAGUUGGUGAGGUAACAGCUCACCAAGGCGACGACGGGUAGCCGGCCUGAGAGGGUGACCGGCCACACUGGGACUGAGACACGGCCCAGACUCCUACGGGGGGCAGCAGUGGGGGAUCUUGCACAAUGGGCGAAAGCCUGAUGCAGCGACGCCGCGUGAGCGAAGAAGGCCUUCGGUUGUAAAGCUCUGUCUGGAGGGACGAAGGAAGUGACGGUACCUCCGGAGGAAGCCACGGCUAACUACGUGCCAGCAGCCGCGGUAAAAGUCACGUGUA
This 502-nucleotide ribosomal RNA is filed under the name uncultured bacterium. RNAcentral describes it as "bacterial SSU rRNA". It matches the Rfam family "Bacterial small subunit ribosomal RNA", at positions 28 to 533 of the family's 1533-position model. The record is from RNAcentral.